AAAAGAGAGAUAAUUUCACAAGAUUGUGCGUGUGGAUGACACGAGACAUUGUGUCAACCGAAGAGAUGCAGAAAUUGGGGAGGAGGCGGUCAGAGAUUAAAG
This is a non-coding RNA of Caenorhabditis elegans, 102 nucleotides long. The record is from Ensembl. Lineage: Eukaryota; Metazoa; Nematoda; Chromadorea; Rhabditida; Rhabditidae.